CACGUAGGGCGCAAGCGUUGUCCGGAAUUAUUGGGCGUAAAGAGCUCGUAGGCGGUCUGUUGCGUCUGCUGUGAAAACUCGGGGCUUAACCCCGAGCCUGCAGUGGAUACGGGCAGACUAGAGGUAGGUAGGGGAGAAUGGAAUUCCCGGUGUAGCGGUGAAAUGCGCAGAUAUCGGGAGGAACACCGGUGGCGAAGGCGGUUCUCUGGGCCUUACCUGACGCUGAGGCACGAAAGCUAGGGUAGCAAACGGG
Molecule: ribosomal RNA, 253 nt
Filed under: uncultured bacterium
Lineage: Bacteria
Description: partial 16S ribosomal RNA
Rfam family: Bacterial small subunit ribosomal RNA
Source: RNAcentral